Molecule: ribosomal RNA, 483 nt
Filed under: uncultured bacterium
Lineage: Bacteria
Description: partial 16S ribosomal RNA
Rfam family: Bacterial small subunit ribosomal RNA
Source: RNAcentral
GACGAACGCUGGCGGCGUGCUUAACACAUGCAAGUCGAACGCUGAAGCUCAGCUUUUGUUGGGUGGAUGAGUGGCGAACGGGUGAGUAACACGUGAGUAACCUGCCUCCUUCUUUGGGAUAACGCCCGGAAACGGGUGCUAAUACUGGAUAUUCACUGGUCUUCGCAUGGGGGCUGGUGGAAAGGGUUUUUCUGGUGGGGGAUGGGCUCGCGGCCUAUCAGCUUGUUGGUGGGGUGAUGGCCUACCAAGGCUUUGACGGGUAGCCGGCCUGGGAGGGUGACCGGUCACAUUGGGACUGAGAUACGGCCCAGACUCCUACGGGAGGCAGCAGUGGGGAAUAUUGCACAAUGGGCGCAAGCCUGAUGCAGCGACGCCGCGUGAGGGAUGGAGGCCUUCGGGUUGUGAACCUCUUUCGCUCAUGGUCAAGCCGCAACAAUGGUUGUGGUGAGGGUAGUGGGUAAAGAAGCGCCGGCUAACUACGUG